This 501-nucleotide ribosomal RNA is filed under the name uncultured Glomeromycotina. RNAcentral describes it as "partial small subunit ribosomal RNA". It matches the Rfam family "Eukaryotic small subunit ribosomal RNA", at positions 591 to 1092 of the family's 1831-position model. Lineage: Eukaryota; Fungi; Glomeromycota. The record is from RNAcentral.
CCAAUAGCGUAUAUUAAAGUUGUUGCAGUUAAAAAGCUCGUAGUUGAACUUCGGGGUUCACCCAUUGGUCAGGCUUAAUUGUCUGUACUGGUGAGAUGAGUCUCUACCUUCUGAGGAACUUUCAUGCCAUUUAUUUGGUGUGAUGGGAAAUCAGGACUGUUACUUUGAAAAAAUUAGAGUGUUUAAAGCAGGCUAACGUCUGAAUACAUUAGCAUGGAAUAAUGAAAUAGGACGGCUUGAUUCUAUUUCGUUGGUUUCUAGGAUCACCGUAAUGAUUAAUAGGGAUAGUUGGGGGCAUUAGUAUUCAAUUGUCAGAGGUGAAAUUCUUGGAUUUAUUGAAGACUAACUACUGCGAAAGCAUUUGCCAAGGAUGUUUUCAUUAAUCAAGAACGAAAGUUAGGGGAUCGAAGACGAUCAGAUACCGUCGUAGUCUUAACCAUAAACUAUGCCGACUAGGGAUCGGACGAAGUUAAUUAAUAAUGACGCGUUCGGCACCUUACG